Molecule: non-coding RNA, 221 nt
Organism: Cinara cedri
Lineage: Eukaryota; Metazoa; Arthropoda; Insecta; Hemiptera; Aphididae
Source: the annotation of a GenBank genome assembly
AACAUUUUCAUUUUCUCUUCCCGUUUUCAAUACACUGAAUAUUCGAAUCGUACAACGUAUUUAACUAACAGAUGAUAUAUUAUAUAACAUAUUAAAGUAUAGCGAAAAUAUCCAGUCGAGGAAUUUUCCACACGUGGAUACUGGAUACAUAUGUCUUUUAUUAUGUGUGUUAUACUUUUCUAAUAGUCCCAGAAAGUUUGACAACUAAAAGUUAAAACUCG